This 71-nucleotide transfer RNA is filed under the name Parcubacteria group bacterium. RNAcentral's name for it is "tRNA-His". It matches the Rfam family "tRNA". Rfam says of the family: Transfer RNA (tRNA) molecules are approximately 80 nucleotides in length. Their secondary structure includes four short double-helical elements and three loops (D, anti-codon, and T loops). Further hydrogen bonds mediate the characteristic L-shaped molecular structure. tRNAs have two regions of fundamental functional importance: the anti-codon, which is responsible for specific mRNA codon recognition, and the 3' end, to which the tRNAs corresponding amino acid is attached (by aminoacyl-tRNA synthetases). tRNAs cope with the degeneracy of the genetic code in two manners: having more than one tRNA (with a specific anti-codon) for a particular amino acid; and 'wobble' base-pairing, i.e. permitting non-standard base-pairing at the 3rd anti-codon position. RNAcentral also lists the same sequence under 1 other name. The record is from RNAcentral.
GCGGUCAUCGUCUAUCGGUAAGACAUCGGUUUGUGGUACCGAGAAGCUGGGUUCAACUCCCAGUGACCGCC